CCUACGGGAGGCAGCAGUAGGGAAUCUUCCACAAUGGACGAAAGUCUGAUGGAGCAACGCCGCGUGAGUGAAGAAGGGUUUCGGCUCGUAAAGCUCUGUUGGUAGUGAAGAAAGAUAGAGGUAGUAACUGGCCUUUAUUUGACGGUAGUUACUUAGAAAGUCACGGCUAACUACGUGCCAGCAGCCGCGGUAAUACGUAGGUGGCAAGCGUUGUCCGGAUUUAUUGGGCGUAAAGCGAGUGUAGGCGGUUCAAUAAGU
Molecule: ribosomal RNA, 258 nt
Filed under: uncultured bacterium
Lineage: Bacteria
Description: partial 16S ribosomal RNA
Rfam family: Bacterial small subunit ribosomal RNA
Source: RNAcentral